RNAcentral lists this ribosomal RNA (458 nucleotides) under uncultured Flavobacterium sp. Its description in RNAcentral is "bacterial SSU rRNA". It matches the Rfam family "Bacterial small subunit ribosomal RNA", at positions 338 to 793 of the family's 1533-position model. The record is from RNAcentral. Lineage: Bacteria; Pseudomonadati; Bacteroidota; Flavobacteriia; Flavobacteriales; Flavobacteriaceae.
CCUACGGGAGGCAGCAGUAAGGAAUAUUGGUCAAUGGAGGCAACUCUGAACCAGCCAUGCCGCGUGCAGGAAGACUGCCCUAUGGGUUGUAAACUGCUUUUAUCCGGGAAUAAACCUCUUUACGUGUAGAGAGCUGAAUGUACCGGAAGAAUAAGGAUCGGCUAACUCCGUGCCAGCAGCCGCGGUAAUAUGGAGGAUCCAAGCGUUAUCCGGAUUUAUUGGGUUUAAAGGGUGCGUAGGCGGCCUGUUAAGUCAGGGGUGAAAGACGGUAGCUCAACUAUCGCAGUGCCCUUGAUACUGAUGGGCUUGAAUGGACUAGAGGUAGGCGGAAUGAGACAAGUAGCGGUGAAAUGCAUAGAUAUGUCUCAGAACACCGAUUGCGAAGGCAGCUUACUAUGGUCUUAUUGACGCUGAGGCACGAAAGCGUGGGGAUCAAACAGGAUUAGAUACCCUGGUAG